Molecule: long non-coding RNA, 2690 nt
Filed under: Oreochromis niloticus (Nile tilapia)
Lineage: Eukaryota; Metazoa; Chordata; Actinopteri; Cichliformes; Cichlidae
Description: lncRNA (ENSONIG00000023676.2)
Source: RNAcentral
AGCAAGAUUUUCUUAACACAUAGUGAACAAAAAGUCAAGGAAGAUGACCUCAGAAGACAAACAAAAGAACUGGAAAUGAAGAAGAAGCAAUUACAGAGUGAAAGAGAAAAAGUGGAGAGUCUGAUGAGGAAUCUCAACAAGAAGCAAGAAGAGCUUGAACGUGCAAAGGAAAUCAUGAGUGAAGAAAAAGAAGAGGUGAAACAGAUGAAGACUGACAUUGCCAAAGAACGAGAACUGUUGUUGAAGGAAAGGAGAAAUAUGGAAGAAGAGCGGUCUGAGAUGGAAAUGAGAGGAGACCAAGUCAUGGAUGAAAUGAAAUCACUAGAGAUUCUGAAAGUGAAACUUCAACAACUGAAGCAGCAUAUAAAAGCUAAAACGGACAGAUUACUACAAAAUGUUGACAACAGGUCCAUGCUGCAAACAGUGUUGGAAGAAAAACUUACAACUCAAGACAAACAGAAAGAAAACAUUUGCUGUUUCACUGAAAUGUUAGAUAGAGAAAAGGAAGGUGUGAGAAGUAUCCUUUCAGACAUGGUCACCAAGAGAGAAUGCACAGAAAAAGAAUGGAAGCAGCAGUUUGAACUGGACAAACGAGAUCUUGAUAAACGGAAAGAAGAUCUGAGACAAGACAGAGAAGAUCUGGAGAGAGAAAGUGAGGUGCUGAAUAAAGAGAAAAUGGAUUUGAAGCUGUUGAUGUCUGACAUGAAGAAACAAUUUGAAAUAUUGGAAGAAAAGAGACAAAAUGUAAAAGAAGAGAGAGACUCAAUGGAAAUCAUGAAGCUUGAACUGCUCAAUAAGAUGGAACAUGUAAAAAGGCUGUUAAAUGAGGCAAAUAAAGAAAAAGCCAAUAUUAAAGUUUGUAUCCUUCAGGUUCAAACGGAAAAAGAAAGACUUGAAGACAUUUUAAGCAAGAUUUUCUUAACACAUAGUGAACAAAAAGUCAAGGAAGAUGACCUCAGAAGACAAACAAAAGAACUGGAAAUGAAGAAGAAGCAAUUACAGAGUGAAAGAGAAAAAGUGGAGAGUCUGAUGAGGAAUCUCAACAAGAAGCAAGAAGAGCUUGAACGUGCAAAGGAAAUCAUGAGUGAAGAAAAAGAAGAGGUGAAACAGAUGAAGACUGACAUUGCCAAAGAACGAGAACUGUUGUUGAAGGAAAGGAGAAAUAUGGAAGAAGAGCGGUCUGAGAUGGAAAUGAGAGGAGACCAAGUCAUGGAUGAAAUGAAAUCACUAGAGAUUCUGAAAGUGAAACUUCAACAACUGAAGCAGCAUAUAAAAGCUAAAACGGACAGAUUACUACAAAAUGUUGACAACAGGUCCAUGCUGCAAACAGUGUUGGAAGAAAAACUUACAACUCAAGACAAACAGAAAGAAAACAUUUGCUAUUUCACUGAAAUGUUAGAGAGGAAAGGAAGGUGUGAGAAUAUCCUUUCAGACAUGAUCACCAAGAGAGAAUGCACAGAAAAAGAAUGGAAGCAGCAGUUUGAACUGGACAAACGAGAUCUUGAUAAACGGAAAGAAGAUCUGAGACAAGACAGAGAAGAUCUGGAGAGAGAAAGUGAGGUGCUGAAUAAAGAGAAAAUGGAUUUGAAGCUGUUGAUGUCUGACAUGAAGAAACAAUUUGAAAUAUUGGAAGAAAAGAGACAAAAUGUAAAAGAAGAGAGAGACUCAAUGGAAAUCAUAAAGCUUGAACUGCUCAAUAAGAUGGAACAUGUAAAAAGGCUGUUAAAUGAGGCAAAUGAAGAAAAGAGACAAAAUGUAAAAGAAGAGAGAGACUCAAUGGAAAUCAUGAAGCUUGAACUGCUCAAUAAGAUGGAACAUGUAAAAAGGCUGUUACAUGAGGCAAAUGAAGAAAAGAGACAAAAUGUAAAAGAAGAGAGAGACUCAAUGGAAAUCAUGAAGCUUGAACUGCUCAAUAAGAUGGAACAUGUAAAAAGGCUGUUAAAUGAGGCAAAUAAAGAAAAAGCCAAUAUUAAAGUUUGUAUCCUUCAGGUUCAAACGGAAAAAGAAAGACUUGAAGACAUUUUAAGCAAGAUUUUCUUAACACAUAGUGAACAAAAAGUCAAGGAAGAUGACCUCAGAAGACAAACAAAAGAACUGGAAAUGAAGAAGAAGCAAUUACAGAGUGAAAGAGAAAAAGUGGAGAGUCUGAUGAGGAAUCUCAACAAGAAGCAAGAAGAGCUUGAACGUGCAAAGGAAAUCAUGAGUGAAGAAAAGUAGAGGUGAAACAGAUGAAGACUGACAUUGCCAAAGAACGAGAACUGUUGUUGAAGGAAAGGAGAAAUAUGGAAGAAGAGCGGUCUGAGAUGGAAAUGAGAGGAGACCAAGUCAUGGAUGAAAUGAAAUCACUAGAGAUUCUGAAAGUGAAAUUUCAACAACUGAAGCAACAUAUAAAAGCUAAAACGGACAGAUUACUACAAAAUGUUGACAACAGGUCCAUGCUGCAAACAGUGUUGGAAGAAAAACUUACAACUCAAGACAAACAGAAAGAAAACAUUUGCUAUUUCACUGAAAUGUUGGAGAGGGAAAGGGAAGGUGUGAGAACUAUCCUUUCAGACAUGAUCACCAAGAGAGAAUGCACAGAAAAAGAAUGGAAGCAGCAGUUUGAACUGGACAAACGAGAUCUUGAUAAACUGAAAGAAGAUCUGAGACAAGACAGAGAAGAUCUGGAGAGAGAAAGUGAGGUGCUGAAU